RNAcentral lists this unclassified non-coding RNA (370 nucleotides) under uncultured bacterium. Its description in RNAcentral is "contains 16S-23S intergenic spacer region". The record is from RNAcentral.
UCCUGCUUUCGCAGGCAGUCUGCUAUGAAAUAAACAACAUAGCACGAGGGUUGCGCUCGUUACCGGACUUAACCGUACAGCUCACGCCACGAGCUGACGACAACCAUGCAGCACCUGUUUAGCACCCUCGAAGGCGGCCCCUAUCUCUAAGGGCUUGCAGCUAAAUGUCAAGACUGGGUAAGGUUCCUCGCUUACCGUCGAAUUAAACCACAUGCUCCACCGCUUGUGCGGGUCCCCGUCAAUUCCUUUGAGUUUCAGUCUUGCGACCGUACUCCCCAGGCGGCAUACUUAACGCGUUAGCUUGGUUAAACGACACUGGCAGGGUCGAUACUGCCAAUGUCUAGUAUGCAUCGUUUACAGCGUGGACUAC